AGCGAACGCUGGCGGCGUGCCUAACACAUGCAAGUCGAACGUGAAAAGGGAAACCUGAGUAAAGUGGCGUACGGGUGAGUAACGCGUAGGUAAUCUACCCCAGAAUCUGGAAUAACCUGCCGAAAGGCGGGCUAAUACUGGAUAGAGCGAGGGAACUCGUAAGAGAGUUUUUCGGGAAAGGGAGCCCGCAAGGGCCUUCGUUCUGGGAUGAGCCUGCGUCUCAUUAGCUAGUUGGUAAGGUAACGGCUUACCAAGGCGAUGAUGAGUAGCUGGUCUGAGAGGAUGAUCAGCCACACUGGAACUGAAACACGGUCCAGACUCCUACGGGAGGCAGCAGGGGGGAAUCUUGCGAAAUGGACGAAAGUCUGACGCAGCCACGCCGCGGGAGUGAAGAAGGCCUUCGGGUUGUAAAGCUCUGUCGGAUGGGACGAACAUCUUCAUAGUGAAUAGCUAUGAGGACUGACGGUACCAUCAAAGGAAGCACCGGCUAACUCCGUG
Molecule: ribosomal RNA, 498 nt
Filed under: uncultured bacterium
Lineage: Bacteria
Description: partial 16S ribosomal RNA
Rfam family: Bacterial small subunit ribosomal RNA
Source: RNAcentral